UAGAAUUCUCCAGCCCCCUUCUCUAUCAUCUGGUUCCUACAUACUUUCUCCUCCCUCUUCCUCAUGCUCCCCACUUAGAAGAGGGAGUGGCAUCAAUGUCCUGGUAGGGGGUAGGACUUCGACCAUCACCUCUUAGAACCUUGAGUAGCCAUGAGUCUAUGCCUUCACCGCUGUUCACCACAAAAACAGGCUAUUUUGAUGGAAGCUGAGAGUGGCGUUUGUCUGACUCUCUGCCUAAUUCCCUUGAGAUACCAUCUCCCACUAGACCUGGACCUAGGCUGAGAGCCAGCAAACCUCAGCGCCCAUCUCCAUCCCUCACAGUAGAGGUUUCCAUGAAGCCAUGACCAGGAAGAGACACAGGAAGAGGAUUCCGCGAACAUCAUGGAAAGCUACACAAUGAACUGGCAUAUCUCCGUUAGCUGACUGCUUGUCCGGCAUUCAAAUGGCCCAAAACAAAGACCCAGUGACUUAAGCAGCCAACUUACAAUGCUGAGUAUGAAAGCCAGAAGCCAUGGGCUGCAAAUAUACUCAAAUAAAGAAAACAGGCUGGAAUGCUGA
Peromyscus leucopus (white-footed mouse) is the source of this 558-nucleotide long non-coding RNA. RefSeq lists it as uncharacterized. Lineage: Eukaryota; Metazoa; Chordata; Mammalia; Rodentia; Cricetidae. The record is from RefSeq and is a predicted model, not a curated record. The transcript has 3 exons.